RNAcentral lists this non-coding RNA (48 nucleotides) under Schistosoma haematobium. The record is from RNAcentral. Lineage: Eukaryota; Metazoa; Platyhelminthes; Trematoda; Strigeidida; Schistosomatidae.
AUCUAUCUGACGAGUCCCAAAUAGGGCGAAACGCUCAUCGAACUGGAU